GCAGGGUGUAAAGCCAUUUUCAUGCUGAAAAUGUCUGUUGCGGUUCUGUAAGGGGCAUUUUCAUUCCAAAGCAUUAUAAGACUGGGGAAAGCAGGAUUUGUAUUAGCUGUCCCUUGUUUUGCAUGGUGAAUAGGUAGAAGUGUCCAAAGAGGUUCCUCACUCCAAGUCAUUGCAAUGGAAAUGGUUGCGUUUUACCGAAAUGGCCCCCAUCCAAUCAUAAAUGGAAUUGCUCUUUAUUUUCUUUUCCAAAUCAAGUCAUUUUUUAAAUGGGCAAAAGAUGCUUUAGGGGAGCACAAACGUAUUUGGCUUUAGUAACAUAUUUCCACACUUGUUCAGGUGUGUAAACAAGCAUUAUGUCUUGCAGAACAAUUUGAUUUGGUGUUAUUUGGUGUGCAUGCUAUUGCAAUUGGGUUCCUUUGAUCUGCAAGCUGAUCCACUCCUCUCAAUCCAUGUUAUCUAUAAUAUUGUUCAUAAUUAUUUUUGAGAAGCCUGAUAUUGUAUAGUUUAUUUUUGAAUGCUUUGCAUUGUUUUGGUCUCAGAUAAUGUCUUUAUGCUUAUUUUCAUAUAACUGUAUAUUUUAUUUAGUUUUUUUGUUGUCCAUUUAUAAAUUAAUGUGACAAUGCCAGCUUUAAAUUGAAAUCUCAUCUAUUUGUUUUCUAUCAUUCUCUGGCCACUUUAUGGUGUUACAAUGUUCCUAUAUUUGUUUGUCUUGACACAGUUGUGUAUCUUUUGCUUCCAAAGUGUUCUCGUUUUUUAUAGGCUCUCGUGUGGGGAAGAAUCCCUCACAACUGUUUCAGCCAGCAUGGACUUUGUAUGUGUGAGCGUGAGUGUGUGCGUGCGUGUGUUUCAUAAGAGCCAGCAUCAGUCUGAGUUUUUAUACUUUGUAUUCUAUUUUCUACUUUCAUUUCACACCAAAACAUACUGAACUGCAAAGCCGAAUCUUCAGUAAAGGGUUUGAAAAGUCUGAUGUUCAACACAAUAAUUGUGUAACGUGGUGAAAGAGGAUACCGAAGCACUGAGCAGUUAUUAUUUUCAUUAAUUAUAUGAAUGUGGCCAAAGCUUAAUGCAGUCGAAAACAUGAAAAACUUUAGUUGGUGCCCCUGAUGAGUGUAUAUUUAUUGUGGUUAAUCCUACACGUGGCUGAGAUACAUCAACUCUCAUUGGGAUACUUGAUUUUUAUUUUAUUUUUUAUUUUUUUUUUGUGGACAUUUUGCAAAGAGAGAACGAAAACGGUUUUGCUGUAGAGGUCAUCCUUUUGCCCACUGUGAAAAUGAACAUGUAUACAGAUAUAGAUAUAUUUAAAGAAGACAUCAACACUUUUCUUUGAAAUGACAAAGAAGGAAAUAAAGAGAAACGAACUCUGGGGAAACUUGAGAGAUGUCAUUGAGAUGUCUGAGAAGGCUGUUGUUGACACACCAAAACUGGGCAUGGGAGCCAAAGGCAGGGCCGACACGUCCCAAUAUCAAGUCAUUAUUUAACUAACACUAUAUGCCGAUGGGAGUGGACUCUGCAACCAGUGGACAUAUGUGACACGGAGAGGAAUUUAUCUCCUUUUUCUCUCUCUGGUUCUGCAUCUACUUGGACAUUUUCUGCACUUCUGAACGGGACAGACUCAAACAUUCGCAUACGUUGUCUCCCAGUUCACGAUGUUGCUACCUGUUUCAUUUCUCCUGCCCGCUUCAGUGACUGACACGUGGUUCCACUCUGGCGUGGAGUCGACCGGAUCCAUCCAACCAUAAAGAGUGACUUUACUGUUCAAGGGGAGGGGAUUUUCCUGGGUGUCAUUCCUAAGGAAGCAGAUAAACACAAAAAAGCGAAUCAACCAAAAUUAAUAACCAAACUAACAAGCAACCAAAAAAAAAGAAACAAACAAAAAACAUUGGCUCCAGUUUCAUCGAUGAACUGCUGCUGGAGCUUCCUGUUCCUUUAGUGGCUACUGGUGCCACAGCAUUUUUGAUGCUUUUUGUGUUUCCUUUUGUUUCUCUCUUUUGUUCUCCUCAAAUUAUUCCUCCUCCUCCGAGCCUCACAAGCACGGCUCUGUGGCUCCAGGUAGCCCAUCCGAGGGUAGAACUUACAGCCUUGCAAUGUACAAAAAGAGCAAGUUAAACCAAAAAUGUUGUUCUUGAUGUCUUUUCUAUACUGUAGUCUUGUUAGCUUUUUGUUACUGUAAUUAUAUGAUGAAGAUUUCCAAACUGUACCAAAUUACAUGGAGACUAACAUACAUAAACCACAUGGACUUUUAAAGAGAACCUUUUGUCACAAAAACCUUGUUGUCCUAGUUAAGUUGAUUGUAGAUGGUAAUUGAAUAUACUCCUUUGAAAAUAUUUCAUCAAGUAUGUUUCUUGCUCAUUGUGAUACAUUAAAAAGUAUGAGCAUA
Long non-coding RNA from Cyprinus carpio carpio, 2377 nucleotides. NCBI's taxonomy places the organism in Eukaryota, Metazoa, Chordata, Actinopteri, Cypriniformes, Cyprinidae. The record is from Ensembl.